CAUGGCUCAGAUUGAACGCUGGCGGCAGGCCUAACACAUGCAAGUCGAGCGGCAGCACGGGUACUUGUACCUGGUGGCGAGCGGCGGACGGGUGAGUAAUGCCUAGGAAUCUGCCUAGUAGUGGGGGAUAACGUCCGGAAACGGGCGCUAAUACCGCAUACGUCCUACGGGAGAAAGUGGGGGAUCUUCGGACCUCACGCUAUUAGAUGAGCCUAGGUCGGAUUAGCUAGUUGGUGAGGUAAUGGCUCACCAAGGCGACGAUCCGUAACUGGUCUGAGAGGAUGAUCAGUCACACUGGAACUGAGACACGGUCCAGACUCCUACGGGAGGCAGCAGUGGGGAAUAUUGGACAAUGGGCGAAAGCCUGAUCCAGCCAUGCCGCGUGUGUGAAGAAGGUCUUCGGAUUGUAAAGCACUUUAAGUUGGGAGGAAGGGCAGUUACCUAAUACGUGAUUGUUUUGACGUUACCGACAGAAUAAGCACCGGCUAACUCUGUGCCAGCAGCCGCGGUAAUACAGAGGGUGCAAGCGUUAAUCGGAAUUACUGGGCGUAAAGCGCGCGUAGGUGGUUUGUUAAGUUGGAUGUGAAAGCCCCGGGCUCAACCUGGGAACUGCAUCCAAAACUGGCAAGCUAGAGUAUGGUAGAGGGUGGUGGAAUUUCCUGUGUAGCGGUGAAAUGCGUAGAUAUAGGAAGGAACACCAGUGGCGAAGGCGACCACC
RNAcentral lists this ribosomal RNA (718 nucleotides) under Pseudomonas protegens. RNAcentral's name for it is "bacterial SSU rRNA". It matches the Rfam family "Bacterial small subunit ribosomal RNA", at positions 18 to 729 of the family's 1533-position model. Lineage: Bacteria; Pseudomonadati; Pseudomonadota; Gammaproteobacteria; Pseudomonadales; Pseudomonadaceae. The record is from RNAcentral.